RNAcentral lists this unclassified non-coding RNA (432 nucleotides) under fungal sp. RNAcentral's name for it is "partial internal transcribed spacer region". The stretch from base 1 to 46 matches the Rfam family "Eukaryotic small subunit ribosomal RNA", at positions 1786 to 1831 of the family's 1831-position model. The record is from RNAcentral. Lineage: Eukaryota; Fungi.
AAGUCGUAACAAGGUUUCCGUAGGUGAACCUGCGGAAGGAUCAUUAACACUGUCAGCGAGUCAGUCGUGUCAUUAACACUGUCUGUCUGUCUCGUUUACUUCACCCAUACGUUGAUUCUGUUCGUACCUCCGCUCGCUAUGCCCUGUGAUGCGCUUGGUUUAUUCUCAUACCACAGGAACAUACAGGAGGCUUAUCCACUCUUCCGCUGCGCUUCGGCCCAGUGAUGACGAAGGAUACAUAUAUAUAUAUUUAUAUAUAUGUGUGUCUGGAGUCGUUUCGGGGGAGUGGCCCAUUUUUUCUCUUUUUCUAUCUUCACCGCAUACUUGCACUGAUUUCAUGUAUGCACACGAAAGUGUGUGUACAACGUGUCAUUGACCAUUCGUGUCAAUGAAACCCAUAUACAACUCUUAACAACGGAUAUCUCGGCUAAC